GAUGGCCGCAGAGAAUAGGCCCAAGCGACUGUUUACCAAAAACACAGGUUUCUGCUAAGUCGCAAGACGAUGUAUAGGAGCUGACGCCUGCCCGGUGCUGGAAGGUUAAGGGGAUCUGUUAGAGCAAUCGAAGCAGUGAACUUAAGCCCCAGUAAACGGCGGCCGUAACUAUAACGGUCCUAAGGUAGCGAAAUUCCUUGUCGGGUAAGUUCCGACCCGCACGAAAGGCGUAACGAUUUGGGCACUGUCUCAACAACAGACUGGGUGAAAUUGUAAUACCGGUGAAGAUGCCGGUUACCUGCGACAGGACGGAAAGACCCCAUGGAGCUUUACUGUAGCUUGACAUUGGGUCUUGGUACUACAUGUACAGGAUAGGUGGGAGACUAUGAAGCAUGAACGCCAGUUUGUGUGGAGUCAUCCUUGGGAUACCACCCUUGUAGUACUGGGACUCUAACCAUAGGCCUUGAAUCAGGUCUUGGGACACUGUCAGGUGGACAGUUUGACUGGGGCGGUCGCCUCCUAAA
RNAcentral lists this ribosomal RNA (524 nucleotides) under Romboutsia weinsteinii. Its description in RNAcentral is "Bacterial large subunit ribosomal RNA". It matches the Rfam family "Bacterial large subunit ribosomal RNA", at positions 1772 to 2294 of the family's 2925-position model. The record is from Rfam by way of RNAcentral. Lineage: Bacteria; Bacillati; Bacillota; Clostridia; Peptostreptococcales; Peptostreptococcaceae.